This 329-nucleotide unclassified non-coding RNA is filed under the name soil metagenome. Its description in RNAcentral is "partial contains 5.8S ribosomal RNA, internal transcribed spacer 2, and large subunit ribosomal RNA". The stretch from base 1 to 120 matches the Rfam family "5.8S ribosomal RNA", at positions 35 to 154 of the family's 154-position model. The record is from RNAcentral.
GAUGAAGAACGUAGCGAAAUGCGAUAAGUAAUGUGAAUUGCAGAAUUCAGUGAAUCAUCGAAUCUUUGAACGCACAUUGCGCCCCUUGGUAUUCCGGGGGGCAUGCUUCUUCCAGCGUCAUUUCACCCCUCAAGCUCUGCUUGGUUUUGGGCCGCGCCGGCAACGGCGGGCCUCGAAAAUAGUGGCGACGCCAUCGUGCUCUCAGCGUAGUAAUUCUUCUCGCUGUUGGGUCCCGGUGGUCGUCCGCCAGCAACCCCCAACUUUCUUAAGUUUGACCUGGGAUGAGGUAGGGAUACCCGCUGAACUUAAGCAUAUCAAUAAGCGGAGGA